RNAcentral lists this long non-coding RNA (6930 nucleotides) under Homo sapiens (human). RNAcentral's name for it is "SUGT1P4-STRA6LP-CCDC180 readthrough, transcript variant 1 (SUGT1P4-STRA6LP-CCDC180)". Lineage: Eukaryota; Metazoa; Chordata; Mammalia; Primates; Hominidae. The record is from RNAcentral.
GGAAGCUCGGUUGGGGUUUCUGCAGAAGUUUCCCCCUUGGGCGGUGGCGGAGCUGAUAAGCGCGCUAGUAGCAGCUCUGGCAGAAGCAACGGUGGCUUCGAGGGAUGGCGGCGGCUGCAACAGGACCUGCAGCAUCCCAGAGGAACUGACUAAGGCUUUGGAACAGAAACCAGAUGAUGCACAAUAUUAUCGUCAAAGAGCUUAUUGUCACAUUCUUCUUGGGAAUUACUGUGGUGCAGAUGCUAAUUUCAGUGACUGGAUUAAAAGGUGUCGAAGCUCAGAAUGGCUCGGAAUCUGAGGUGUUUGUGGAGAAUUAUGAGACCCUCGUGUUUUACUGGCCCUCGCUGCUGUGCCUUGCCUUCCUGCUGGGCCGCUUCCUGCAUAUGUUUGUCAAGGCUCUGAGGGUGCACCUCGGCUGGGAGCUCCAGGUGGAAGAAAAAUCUGUCCUGGAAGUGCACCAGGGAGAGCACGUCAAGCAGCUCCUGAGGAUACCCCGCCCUCAAGAGAAAAAAAAGUCUUGGUUCCAAACCAGGAUAUAUGAGUGGGAUCCCUGCUUUCAAUUUCCAAGCAGAAUGAUUGGAACCAUUGUGUUGGCAUUCAUCUGCCUGUAUCUUUUCAUUGUCAUCGAGUUCUGCGUGUUUGUGUACGUGAGAGAUGAGUUGGAUGUGCUUGAAAACAACCUGGAAAGCUACAUCACCUUCACGAACCAUUCAGGGGUCCUGACCCCAGUCAUCCUGCAGGUGAAAGAGCUGAUCAGUGUCACCAAAGGAGUCUGGGUGGCGACCAUUUUGCCCGCGUAUCUCACGUGUGUGAGCUAUCUGUUCCACAUUUUGGUCUGUUACAGAAAGCACAUGAAGAGGCUAUGGGCAGGAGAUAAACAUUUUCUUCCUUUGAAGUUCCAUAACCCGGCCUCGUCGGAGAGCAUGGUGGCCAUUGCAAGGUACUCUGGCUGGCAAAUAGCCUAUAUUCUGUGGGGCUACCUCAUCAUUCACAUGGUACAGAGCCUAUGUGGCAUGGCAAUCAUGUACAGCCUGGUGCUACCCAUCGUCCAAACCAGGGCCUGGAAAUGCUGCAAGGGCUGGGCAUUGGGAUGAAAGCGUUCCACAACUUCAACUACUUUCUGUUCUUCUACAACGUGCUGCUGGGCCUGGGUGCCUGCCUUUCCAGGCUGCUCAUCAGUUGCCUCCUCGGCAUGUGGCUGAUUGCCCGCAUCGACAGGACCAUCAUGCAGAGUGGCUAUGAGGGAGCAGACAUGGGGUUCAGUGCAUGGAUUGGGAUGCUCUACAUGGACCAUUAUCACAUCAACCCUGUGCUUGUCAGCUUUUGCCACAUCCUGAUCACAAAUCACAGGGAGAAGAAGCUGCAGCAGAGCACCAAAUACUGGUGCCUAAAUCAAUCGGCAGAGUCCCUUCGGAUUUGCGCCAUGCGCGGCGGGGAGAACCGGCCUCCUGCUCGAGUUCAGAGCUCAUCUGAGGAAUUGGAAUUGAGACACCAAAGCCUAGACGCGUUUCCUGGACGACGGCUUCCCGGCAGGGGCAUCCAGCCAGCGGCCAAGAUGUCGUCAGUGGGGAAGGUGACCCAGGUUCCGAAUGGGAAAGCCUACCAGCAGAUCUUCCAGGCUGAGGUGCAGCUGGUCCACUCCCUGGCGGCCACCAGGAAGCGGGCUGCAGAGCGUUCUGUGACCCUGAAGAGUGGCAGGAUACCCAUGAUGAAGAAGGUGGAGACUCCUGAAGGGGAGGUGAUGUCUCCCCGACAGCAGAAGUGGAUGCACAGCCUCCCCAACGACUGGAUCAUGGAAAACCCUGUUCUCCACAGGGAAAAGGAAAGAGCCAAGAGGGAAAAAGCCCGAGAGAGUGAGAACACCAUCGCUGCCCGAGAAGUGCGGGGUCUCAUGGAUACUAUAGUUCCUGAGAAGAUAAGCACCAGCACCUUUCAAAGGCAAGCAGAACACAAGAGGAAGAGCUACGAGAGCGCUCUGGCCAGCUUUCAGGAGGAGAUUGCGCAGGUGGGAAAGGAAAUGGAACCUCUCAUCGUGGACACAGGGGGACUUUUUUUGAAGAAGCUGACUGAGUCUGAUGAAGAAAUGAACCGUCUCUUCCUAAAGGUGGAAAAUGACACCAACCUUGAGGACUACACCAUCCAAGCCCUGCUGGAGCUGUGGGAUAAGGUGGCCGGGCGGUUACUGCUCCGGAAGCAGGAGAUUAAGGAGCUGGAUGAGGCCCUGCACUCGCUGGAGUUCUCCCGAACCGAUAAACUAAAAAGCGUGUUGAAGAAAUAUGCAGAAGUCAUAGAGAAAACUUCCUACCUCAUGCGGCCCGAAGUGUACAGGCUGAUAAAUGAAGAAGCCAUGGUCAUGAACUAUGCCCUGCUGGGCAACCGGAAGGCUCUCGCCCAGCUGUUUGUCAACCUGAUGGAGUCCACCCUGCAGCAGGAGCUGGACAGCCGCCACCGCUGGCAAGGCUUGGUGGACACCUGGAAGGCUCUCAAGAAGGAGGCCCUGCUGCAGAGUUUCAGUGAGUUCAUGGCCAGUGAGAGUAUCCAUACUCCCCCGGCUGUGACGAAGGAGCUAGAGGUCAUGCUGAAGACCCAGAACGUCCUGCAGCAAAGGCGGCUGAAGCAUCUCUGCACCAUCUGUGACCUCCUGCCCCCCAGUUACAGCAAAACUCAGCUGACUGAGUGGCAUUCUUCCCUCAACUCCCUGAACAAGGAGCUAGACACCUACCACGUGGACUGCAUGAUGCGGAUCCGCCUGCUGUAUGAGAAGACAUGGCAGGAGUGCCUGAUGCAUGUGCAGAAUUGUAAGAAGCAGCUGCUGGACUGGAAAGCCUUCACUGAGGAGGAGGCAGAGACCCUGGUGAACCAGUUCUUCUUCCAGAUGGUGGGAGCACUCCAGGGCAAAGUGGAGGAGGACCUGGAGCUCUUGGACAAAUCCUUCGAGACUCUGGCAGAUCAGACAGAGUGGCAGAGUUCACACCUCUUCAAGUAUUUCCAGGAGGUGGUACAACUGUGGGAGGCACACCAGAGCGAGCUGUUGGUGCAGGAGCUGGAGCUGGAGAAGAGGAUGGAGCAGCACCGGCAGAAGCACAGCCUGGAGAGCCAGGUGCAGGAGGCCCACCUCGAUAGGCUCUUGGACCAACUGAGGCAGCAAAGUGACAAAGAAACACUGGCGUUUCACCUGGAAAAGGUCAAAGAUUAUCUGAAGAACAUGAAAUCCAGGUAUGAAUGUUUUCACACCCUCCUGACAAAGGAAGUGAUGGAGUACCCAGCGAUCAUGCUGAAAGAACUCAACUCCUACAGCUCUGCCCUCAGCCAAUACUUCUUUGUGCGUGAAAUCUUUGAACAGAACUUGGCUGGAGAAGUCAUUUUCAAAUUCAGGCAACCAGAAGCACAUGAAAAACCCUCCCAGAAGAGAGUGAAAAAACUGAGGAAGAAGCAAGGGUCUAAAGAGGACAUGACCAGAAGUGAGGAAAGCAUAAGUAGUGGGACAAGUACUGCCAGGUCAGUAGAAGAGGUGGAAGAAGAAAACGAUCAAGAAAUGGAGUCCUUCAUAACUGAAGAGGUGCUGGGGCAGCAGAAAAAAUCUCCACUGCAUGCUAAGAUGGAUGAGUCCAAAGAAGGCUCUAUUCAGGGACUGGAAGAAAUGCAGGUUGAAAGAGAGGGCUCCUUAAACCCAUCCCUGAAUGAGGAGAAUGUGAAGGGUCAAGGAGAAAAGAAGGAGGAGUCAGAGGAGGAAGAUGAGAAGGAGGAAGAGGAGGAGGAGGAGAAGCUGGAGGAAGAGAAGGAGGAGAAGGAGGCACAGGAAGAGCAAGAGAGUUUAUCUGUGGGUGAGGAAGAAGACAAGGAAGAGGGUCUAGAGGAGAUAUACUAUGAGGACAUGGAGUCCUUCACAAUCUCCAGUGGAAACACUUAUUUUGUCUUUGUACCCCUGGAAGAAGAGCAUUGUAGGAAGUCCCAUUCCACCUUCUCAGCCAUGUUCAUCAACGACACUUCCAGUGCCAAGUUCAUAGAACAAGUGACAAUUCCAUCGAGACUAAUUUUAGAAAUUAAGAAACAACUUCGAGCUGGCUUCUUCGAGCACCUUGAGAAGUGGUUUGACCAGUGUUCCCUCAACACCCGGGUCACCGUGGCCACCAAAAUCAAUGAGCUGGAUUCAGAACUGGAGCUGCAUCUGCACCUGCACCAGCCAAGAGCCCAGCAGAUUGAAAAAGACAUCCACAACGUCAGGGCAGCCGAGCUUUUGCUUCAUCAAGAGCAGUUGGACAGCCACUGUGCUGGGGUGACCGAGACGCUGAAGAAGAAGCGGCUGAUGUUCUGCCAGUUCCAAGAAGAGCAAAACGUGAGGAGCAAAAACUUCCGCCUUAAGAUCUAUGACAUGGAGCACAUCUUCUUGAAUGCCACCAGGAGCCAAAAGCUGGUCACUCUCAGCAACACACUGCACCAGGAGUUGCUUAGCUAUGUUGAUGUCACCCAGGUGUCCCUGCGCAGCUUCCGGCAGUACUUGGAGGAGAGUCUGGGCAAACUCCGCUACUCAAAUAUUGAGUUCAUCAAACACUGCAGAUUGUUUUCAGAGGGAGGCAACUUUUCUCCUAAAGAAAUCAAUUCACUGUGUUCCCGACUGGAGAAGGAAGCUGCCCGGAUAGAGUUGGUUGAAAGUGUCAUCAUGCUCAACAUGGAGAAGUUGGAGAAUGAGUACCUGGACCAGGCCAAUGAUGUCAUCAACAAGUUUGAAAGCAAAUUCCAUAACCUGUCUGUGGACCUUAUUUUCAUAGAGAAAAUCCAGCGGUUGCUGACGAAUCUGCAAGUGAAAAUCAAGUGCCAGGUGGCAAAAUCCAAUUCGCAAACAAAUGGAUUAAAUUUCUCUCUGCAACAGCUUCAGAACAAGAUAAAAACUUGUCAAGAGUCCAGGGGAGAGAAAACCACAGUGACCACAGAAGAACUCCUCAGCUUCGUCCAAACUUGGAAGGAAAAACUGAGCCAGAGGAUUCAGUACCUUAACUGCAGCCUGGACAGGGUGUCCAUGACUGAACUGGUCUUUACCAACACCAUCCUGAAGGACCAGGAGGAAGACAGUGACAUCCUGACAUCUUCAGAAGCCCUUGAAGAGGAGGCCAAGCUGGACGUGGUCACCCCUGAGUCCUUCACCCAGCUGAGCCGCGUGGGGAAGCCCCUGAUUGAGGACCCAGCUGUGGAUGUGAUCAGGAAGCUCCUGCAACUUCCCAACACAAAAUGGCCAACCCACCAUUGUGACAAAGAUCCGUCCCAGACAGGUAGAGGCGCAUGGGCCUGUGGGUCUCGGGGCAGCAGUGAGGCAGGGGCUGGUGGUGCUGUGUGCUCACCUCCUGUCCUCUGCUCCUGUCCUGGGCCCUCGUCACCCAAAGGCUUCAAGCGACAUCGGUGCCAGCCAGAAAACUCUGGGAAGAAGGCUGUACCCAGUGCCAGUGCUACCUCUGCAGGCAGCUUCACACCGCACCCCAAGCCCAACAAAAUGGAGAGAAAGUACCGGGUGCUUGGGGACAAGCCUCCCCCUGCUGCCGAGGAUUUUAAGGGGAUCAUCUUGACCCUCCUCUGGGAGAGCAGUGAGAACCUGCUGACAGUCGCAGAGGAGUUCUACCGUAAAGAAAAACGCCCAGUCACCAGGCCUGACUGCAUGUGUGACACCUUUGACCAGUGCGCCGAGAACAUUAGCAAAAAGAUCCUGGAGUAUCAGAGCCAGGCAAAUAAGUACCACAACUCCUGCCUCAUAGAAUUACGGAUCCAGAUCAGGAGAUUUGAGGAGCUGCUGCCCCAAGUGUGUUGGCUGGUGAUGGAGAAUUUCAAGGAACACCACUGGAAAAAGUUUUUCACCUCUGUGAAGGAGAUCCGAGGACAGUUCGAGGAACAGCAGAAGCGGCUGGAGAAAAGAAAGGACAAAAAUGCCCAGAAGCUCCAUCUAAAUCUUGGACACCCCGUACAUUUCCAAGAAAUGGAGUCUCUACACUUAAGUGAAGAGGAAAGGCAGGAAGAGCUGGACAGCAUGAUUAGGAUGAACAAGGAGAAGCUGGAGGAAUGUACCAGAAGGAAUGGCCAGGUUUUCAUAACCAACUUGGCCACCUUCACCGAGAAGUUCCUACUGCAGUUGGAUGAGGUGGUCACCAUUGACGAUGUCCAGGUUGCAAGGAUGGAGCCCCCCAAACAGAAAUUAUCAAUGCUCAUACGAAGGAAACUCGCUGGGCUCUCCCUGAAGGAAGAGAGUGAGAAACCCCUGAUUGAACGUGGAAGCAGGAAGUGGCCAGGGAUCAAACCCACCGAAGUCACCAUCCAAAACAAGAUUCUUCUCCAGCCAACAUCAUCGAUUUCCACCACCAAAACCACCCUGGGCCACCUGGCGGCCGUGGAAGCCCGAGAUGCUGUGUACCUGAAAUAUUUAGCAUCAUUUGAGGAGGAGCUAAAGAGGAUCCAGGAUGACUGUACAUCUCAGAUAAAGGAGGCUCAGCGCUGGAAGGACAGCUGGAAGCAGUCCCUGCACACUAUCCAAGGCCUGUAUGUGUGACCCUCCGCCCCACCAUGAAUAAACACUUUCUUAUACAGACUCCUUCCCUGUCCAUCUACCUGCCUACCUACUUUCCGUCCAUCCCUCCCUCCCUUCAUCCCUCCACCCCUGCUCUGUGCCGGGCACUGUAGCUUUACCAGCGAACAGGACACAGCAUGGUCCCUGCCCACGUGGAGCCCUCUUCCCAUGAGGAAGGCAAGCAUGAAAGGGGAAUUCCACGUGGUUAGCAGGGAGGGUGAGUACCAGGAAUCAGUCACUUCAAAUAGGCACCAGAGCUUCAAAGGACAUCACCUCCAAACAGCAUGCUGGGCAGGGCACGUCAUCUUGAAAAAUGAAAUAAAGGUCAUGGGAAAAUGAUAUUUUAAUUUAACAGAAUAAACAAGUAUGGGUUAUAAUUGCAA